UUAAAUUAGUAGAUAUUGAAAUUUUUUUUUAUAAAAAAAUUUAAUUUUUGUUUUGAAAUUAAUUUUCGAAUGAUCAUAAUAAAUAAUUUUUUAAAUUUAAAUAAAUAGAUUUUUUUAGUAUUAAAAUUUAUAGCAAUUAACGAUAGUUAAACUUAGAUAUUUAUGAUAAUUAAUGGUCAAUUUAGUGCCAGCCACAGCGGUUAAACUAAGAUUAAAAGUUAAUUACUUCAAUAUGUAAUAAAAUAGAAAAUAUUAUAAAAUUUAUUAUAGUAUUAAUUUAGAAUUGUAUGAAAAAAAUAAAUUUUUAACGGUGAAAUGUAAAAAAUUUAAUAAAAUAUAAUUUAUAAAAAUUUAAUUAAAAAAAUUAUUAGAUAAACUAGGAUUAGAUACCCUAUUAUAAUAAUGGAAAAAAAUUAAAUGUUAAAGUAUUAAAUGAUAUAUCAUUAAAUUUAUGAAAUUUGGCGGUAUUUUAUCCAAGUUAGGGGAACCUGUUGAGUAAUUGAUGGUCCACGAUAAGAUCUACUUAAUUUAAUACUCGUGUAUUGCUGUUUUUAGAUAUAUUUUGACUAUAUUAUCAUAAUUUAUAUCAAUAAAAGUAAAAUAAUUCAAGUCAAAAUACGGUUUAGUUAAGAUCAAAUGGGUUACAAUAAUUUAAAAUUAUACGGAUUUUAAAAUUUAAUUUUUAAAUGAAGGCGGACUUAAAAGUAAAAUUAAUAAAUUAAUUAAUUUGAAGUUUGUUUGAAAUAUGUACAAAUUGCCCGUCACUUCCAAUAAAAUGGAACAAGUCGUAACAAAGUUUAGGUAUCGGAAGAUGCUUAUAGAUAAU
Molecule: non-coding RNA, 826 nt
Filed under: Rhynchium aff. brunneum GX
Lineage: Eukaryota; Metazoa; Arthropoda; Insecta; Hymenoptera; Vespidae
Also listed under: 1 other name
Source: RNAcentral